CAGCAUUACUGAUGGUAUUAAAGCUGCAGUCCACUAAGAUAAUGACUAAAGUGCAGUGUUGAGAGUUGUCAAUCAACAACCGGACAACAAUAAAGCAGUGAUUAAAGCAACUGCAGCCACUCAAGCACUGGCAUAAGCUAAAGCAACAACAAUAGAAUGAACUAAUUAAUAGGCCAUUAAAUGCAUCUAGUCUAAUUAUUUAGUGAACAACUAACAAAAUUAAAUCAGCAACUUUUUGCCCAUGUUUUUGUGACCAAUUAUAUGGAGACACAAGGCCAAGGAAAUAUCAAUUUGGUGCUGAUUUUGGUGAAUGUGAUUCAAUGUGGCGUGCUCGUCCUGACCACGUGAUUAUUCUUAACUUGUUUUCGGGAGACCUUUUGGAUUCUUUGACUCAUCUCAUAUUCCCACUCUGUAAAACCUAAAAAUACGUUACAAAUGCCUUUGAAUACGGUGCAGGAACUAUUUUAUUGAAUUACCGGGGAGGGUGUGUGUGUUAGCAGAUGCAUUCUAACAGGCUUACUUUAAUUUAUGGUCACUUAAACUAAUCCUUAAUGCAAAUUAUCUUUAACUUCGAGACUUGAGUCGCCACCCUACCCCCAGUCAAAAGCCCCCUCCCCAAAAAAACCUCUAUGCAGGCAGCAGGAGUCAGCUUACAGCAGUUUCAUACCUGCCCACCCCCUCCGCUGCGGGAAGGCCGGGUCUCCCUGCCUAUCGCGCUGCCUCUGAGCGACGGUGCGCCAGUGUGCCAACAGUCCGAGUGCGGCGCAGAGCGCAGCGUCACGCAUAGGCAGACAGUGCGUGUCAGAGACACAGAGGAUCUCCGCGGGGUUUCAGGGACAGCCGGAGUGGAUGAACGGAGCGACGAGGUGAUUGUUUGCUGGUGAGGACCACGCGUGCAGCAGCAGGACAUUUACCGGUAAUCCCUUCACUUUGAUCCAUAUUGUAAAGCGGGACCUCAUUUGUAAACUCCAUCUGCGGGUGUAUGUGAUAUUUAUCUUUAUGCCCCCGCAUACAUUUUUUUGUUGACUUGUUUUGUAAAAGUCUGAACUUGCAGACUCAACCUAUGCCUAAGAGCUAGAAUGACUCACAGCUCAUAAACACCUCCAAACGCUGCGUCAAACCUUCAUCAUCACGUGCAGGUUUCAACGCAAGCCUCUACGUAACCGACUCCCUACCUUAGAAAUUACAGUGUUGAGCAACUGUAAAAAUUGCUCCCUUUUCCUCCCAGGAAUCAUGUGGCCACGCACUAAUUUUCCAGCUGUAAUACAGCCGCCAUCGUGUUUGAUCCUCAUCCCGCACUUGCAGAUAAGAACACUUCCAGCUGAGGCCAGAGCCCAAGGGCACAGUGAUCAGUGCUGCUGCCUCUGUCUGGGGUGUUGACAGGAGCUCUGACAUCAUAAGAGUGACUAAAUGAAAUGCAAUUUUUAUGUUCGCCUUCUUGGUUCUUAGGAAGGGGAGCGGCCGUGUUAAUGCGGCACAGUGGGGAAAUCAUGUUGACUUAUUUAAAACGUGCCCAGAGAUGCAGUCCUAAAGAGCAAAGUAGCCACCACCCAAGCUAAGAUAAGCUAAACUAAACAAACCGCUUCGGUUAUCAACAUACUGAACACCCCACGAUUUGGGUUCCUCUUCCUCUUUGCGGGCUAUCCUGACUUUGUUUUUGUCGUUGGUUUGAGCCACAUCAGAGCAGCAGGUAGAUGCCACAGGGUACGUCACAGCGCAAGCUCACACGGAGCCUCUCGUGUGUUCCUUAUCACUCUAAAUUCAGCUGUACCGCAGCACUCGAGGCUCCGCGAUCCUGUGGAGUCUUGAAAGCGUCACAUUGUAUGUGGGAUGUCAAACAUUUGUCCUCCUCAAUUGC
This is a long non-coding RNA of Takifugu rubripes (torafugu), 1858 nucleotides long. The record is from Ensembl. NCBI's taxonomy places the organism in Eukaryota, Metazoa, Chordata, Actinopteri, Tetraodontiformes, Tetraodontidae.